AUUGAACGCUGGCGGCAGGCCUAACACAUGCAAGUCGAGCGGAUGAAGGGAGCUUGCUCCUGGAUUCAGCGGCGGACGGGUGAGUAAUGCCUAGGAAUCUGCCUGGUAGUGGGGGAUAACGUCUGGAAACGGGCGCUAAUACCGCAUACGUCCUGCGGGAGAAAGUGGGGGAUCUUCGGACCUCACGCUAUCAGAUGAGCCUAGGUCGGAUUAGCUAGUUGGUGGGGUAAAGGCCUACCAAGGCGACGAUCCGUAACUGGUCUGAGAGGAUGAUCAGUCACACUGGAACUGAGACACGGUCCAGAGUCCUACGAGAGGCAGCAGUGGGGAAUAUUGGACAAUGGGCGAAAGCCUGGUCCAGCCAUGCCGCGUGUGUGAAGAAGGUCUUCGGAGUGUAAAGCACUUUAAGGUGGGAGGAAGGGCAGUAAGUUAAUACCUUGCUGUUUUGACGUUACCAACAGAAUAAGCACCGGCUAACUUCGUG
This 484-nucleotide ribosomal RNA is filed under the name uncultured bacterium. RNAcentral describes it as "partial 16S ribosomal RNA". It matches the Rfam family "Bacterial small subunit ribosomal RNA", at positions 30 to 507 of the family's 1533-position model. The record is from RNAcentral.